Molecule: ribosomal RNA, 508 nt
Filed under: uncultured bacterium
Lineage: Bacteria
Description: partial 16S ribosomal RNA
Rfam family: Bacterial small subunit ribosomal RNA
Source: RNAcentral
AUUGAACGCUGGCGGCAGGCUUAACACAUGCAAGUCGAACGGCAGCAUGGAUAUGGGUAACCAUAUUUGAUGGCGAGUGGCGGACGGGUGAGUAAUAUGUAGGAAUCUACCUAGAGGAGGGGGAUAACUUGGGGAAACCCAAGCUAAUACCACAUAAGCCCUACGGGGGAAAGCAGGGGACCGCAAGGCCUUGCGCCUUAUGAUGAGCCUACAUCGGAUUAGCUAGUUGGUGGGGUAAAGGCCUACCAAGGCGACGAUCCGUAGCUGGUCUGAGCAGAUGACCAGCCACACUGGGACUGAGACACGGCCCAGACUCCUACGGGAGGCAGCAGUGGGGAAUAUUGGACAAUGGGCGAAAGACUGAUCCAGCAAUGCCGCGUGUGUGAAGAAGGCCUUAGGGUUGUAAAGCACUUUCAGUGGGGAGGAAGGGGUUGAUGCUAAUAUCAUCAGUCAUUGACGUUACCCACAGAAGAAGCACCGGCUAACUCUGUGCCAGCCGCCGCAGUAA